RNAcentral lists this ribosomal RNA (253 nucleotides) under uncultured bacterium. RNAcentral describes it as "partial 16S ribosomal RNA". It matches the Rfam family "Bacterial small subunit ribosomal RNA", at positions 524 to 776 of the family's 1533-position model. The record is from RNAcentral.
UACGAAGGGGGCUAGCGUUGUUCGGAAUUACUGGGCGUAAAGCGCACGUAGGCGGAUUGUUAAGUUAGGGGUGAAAUCCCGGGGCUCAACCCCGGAACUGCCUCUAAUACUGGCAAUCUCGAGUCCGAGAGAGGUGAGUGGAAUUCCGAGUGUAGAGGUGAAAUUCGUAGAUAUUCGGAGGAACACCAGUGGCGAAGGCGGCUCACUGGCUCGAUACUGACGCUGAGGUGCGAAAGCGUGGGGAGCAAACAGG